CUUCUUCGGGACCAGCAGUACAGUAAGUCACAAAUGCUUCUUUGACAGUACAAACAUGUCGAGUUGCUCCGGAGUCAAGCCACUACUCCUUCGGAUUUCCAACAAGGUUGCAUUCCGAAAAUAUUGCACAAAGAUCAUCAAUGUCAUCAUUCUUCUCCACUAUGUUGGCUUGUACUUUCUUAUUAACCUUUUUCAGAAGACGACAAUCAGGGCUUUUGUGACCAAACAUUUCCACAAUUGUAGCAUAUAACCUUGGAUUUCUUUUUGUUCUGCUCCUUAGUUUGUCCAGAAGGCCUCUUCAUCUUCUUGCUUUUUGGAGCAGUCUCCUCAACGAUAUUAGCUCCCAUAAUUGUUGAAUUUAUGCGAGACUUCUUCUCGGCUGUUUUGUUGUCUCCCUCGAUAUUUAGACGUAUCACAAGAUCUUCCAAAUUCAUUUCUUUGCGUAUGUGCUUCAGAUAGUUCUUGAAAUCCCUCCACGAAUGAGGCAAUUUUUCAAUCAUAGCAGCUACUUGAAAUGCUUCAUUCAGGACCAUACCUUCAGCAAUAAGGUUGUAAAAAUAAGUUGAAGCUCCUGAACUUGGGUUCUCACGCUUUUGUUGUCUAUCAUUUUAUAGUCUAGAAACUUGGCAACCACGAACUUCUUCAAGCAUGCAUCUUCUGUCUUGUACUCCUUGUCAAGUGCGUCCCAUAAUUCUUUCAAAG
RNAcentral lists this long non-coding RNA (702 nucleotides) under Nicotiana benthamiana. RNAcentral's name for it is "long non-coding RNA (NBEN_LNC003490)". The record is from RNAcentral. Lineage: Eukaryota; Viridiplantae; Streptophyta; Magnoliopsida; Solanales; Solanaceae.